This is a non-coding RNA of Arachis ipaensis, 112 nucleotides long. NCBI's taxonomy places the organism in Eukaryota, Viridiplantae, Streptophyta, Magnoliopsida, Fabales, Fabaceae. The record is from RefSeq and is a predicted model, not a curated record.
AGACCUGACAAAGGUCCAAGAAAGAGGAUUACAAAAAUAACUAAAAAGAGAUCGACCUGACGAAGUUAAUCUCCUACAGACAAGUUAUAAAAAAAAACCAUGUUAUAAAAGU